Non-coding RNA from Paramuricea clavata, 326 nucleotides. NCBI's taxonomy places the organism in Eukaryota, Metazoa, Cnidaria, Anthozoa, Malacalcyonacea, Plexauridae. The record is from the annotation of a GenBank genome assembly.
GUAAUUACUACUUAUAUAAAAUUUAAGAAGAUUUAUUCAACUUUAAGGAAGGGUUAAUUCCUCCAUACUGGACCCAUCUAUGGCCAUGUAAAAAAUAUCUCGGUGCAUCAGUAUAGCAUGCAGUAAAACAAUCCGUGCGGGUGGGCGGAUUUUAAACUUUUUUUUACCAAAUUAUAGUUAUUUACAUGUACGGAAGAAUUUGUUCAAACCACGCACCGCAUCGUAACAAUACUGUUACACUAGCUUUCCAAUUGCCAAGGGCAAGAAUAUCCGCCAUGUUCGAACAGUACAAAAUAACAAUCAUUUGCAAAAGUGGUUGACAAAAC